ACCUGGGUGGCUCAGUUGGUUAAGCGUCUGACUUCAGCUCAGGUCAUGAUCUCGUGGUUUGUGGGUUCGAGCCCCGUAUCAGGCU
This 85-nucleotide transfer RNA is filed under the name Felis catus (domestic cat). It matches the Rfam family "tRNA". From Rfam's summary of the family: Transfer RNA (tRNA) molecules are approximately 80 nucleotides in length. Lineage: Eukaryota; Metazoa; Chordata; Mammalia; Carnivora; Felidae. RNAcentral also lists the same sequence under 2 other names. The record is from Rfam by way of RNAcentral.